GGGUCAAUGAUGAGAACUCAUAUGGUCUCGAAGACAGAUGAUGACCUAAAAAUUAUGCUCAAUACGAUUACCUAAGGCCC
The sequence is a small nucleolar RNA, 80 nucleotides long. Its record names the gene SNORD115. It matches the Rfam family "Small nucleolar RNA SNORD115". From Rfam's summary of the family: HBII-52 is a member of the C/D class of snoRNAs, which contain the C (UGAUGA) and D (CUGA) box motifs. HBII-52 is encoded in a tandemly repeated array with another C/D snoRNA, HBII-85, in the Prader-Willi syndrome (PWS) region of chromosome 15. The record is from Ensembl.